AUGGAGCAAUUUAUGGACCUUAUGGACUGGUUUAUGGAGGUAAUUUCUAAAUCCCCUGUUUCUCCGCUGGUUCCGUCCAGCCCUGAUCCUCCUGUAUACCCUCCCAGUCUCCCACUCCCACCUCCUCCAGUCAGUUUCUCUGCUCCAUUUCCGCUGGUUCCGCCCAGCCCUGAAUUUUCAGUUUCUCCGCUGGUUCCACCCAGCCCUGAAUUCUCUGUUUCUCUGCUGGUUCCGCCCAGCCCUGAAUCUCCUGUGUCACAGCUGGUUCCGUUCAGCCCUGAAUCUCCUGUAUUCCCUCCCUUCCUCCCUCUCCCGCCACCUCCUAGACCUGCCUGUUCCUCUGCUCCACUUCCACUGGUUCAGUCCAGCCCCGUAUCUCCUGUUUCUCUGCUGGCUCUGUCCAGCCCUGAUCCUCCUGUGUUUCCUCCCUUCCUCCCUCUCUCAUCUCCUCCUAGACCAGCCAGUUCCUCAACCUCAUCUCUGCUGGUGCCAGUCAGUCCCGCAGCUCACCCUCAGUCCGCGCCAUCUGGGCGCGAUGGUUCGCAGCAGGACUUCCAGUCUCCUGCUCUGCCUUGGCUGGUGGAUUCCCCGUCUCCGCCUCCAGCCUCUGAGCCCUGGACUCCUCCUCAGUCCUUUGACCUAGCGGCUCCACCUUGGCUCUUAGCUCCACCGUGGCCUGGCAUCCCACCUGCUCCACCGGGCUCCCUCUUCCCUCCGGCUCCACCUUGGUCAGUCAUCGACCAUCCACCGCCUCAGCACUUCAUUCCUCUGGCUUUGCCUCAUCAAUCCAUCCCUCUGGCUCUAUCAGGCUCCUCCUUCCCUCUGGUUCUGCCUCCAUCCUCAGUCACUCCGGCUCUGCAGUGGUCUUCCUCCUCCACCAUGGCUCCUCCCGCCGUCGACUCCAUCAUAAAUUUCCAUCCUGGCUGGUCUGUGGAGCACCAUUUGGCUCCUCCUGCUCCGGGCCCCUCCCUGGCUCCUCCCUCCAUCCAUCUAGCUCCUUGCUCCCUCUUCUUCUGCCUCUUGCCUGCCCCACGCCGGCCUCCAGAACCCCCACCCUCCCUCCGCUCGUAUUCCUCUCGCGGUGCGAGGACGCACCGUUCCGGGAGGGGGCGAACUGUUACGUUCAUGUUAUAUGUAGUCUGUUAUCUCUAUCGAUGUUCAGUAAACUCCUCUUUGGAUUUAUACCUUCCUUGUGCUCUUAUUCUCUAUGCUAGCAGACACACGACUAUAAAAUGUAUAUGUGUAUAUAUAUAUAUAUAUAUAUAUAUAUAUAUAUAUAUAUAUAUAUAUAUAUAUUAA
Molecule: long non-coding RNA, 1299 nt
Filed under: Carassius auratus (goldfish)
Lineage: Eukaryota; Metazoa; Chordata; Actinopteri; Cypriniformes; Cyprinidae
Description: lncRNA (ENSCARG00000021970.1)
Source: RNAcentral